This 767-nucleotide long non-coding RNA is filed under the name Zostera marina. Its description in RNAcentral is "long non-coding RNA (ZMAR_LNC005489)". The record is from RNAcentral. Lineage: Eukaryota; Viridiplantae; Streptophyta; Magnoliopsida; Alismatales; Zosteraceae.
UUGAAACAAGAAACAGAUGUAUUUGAAACAGGAGAAUGGUUUUAUUUGAAAUAGGAAGAAUAUAAAUUAAAAAAAUCCUUGGAGAAACGGAUGUAUUUUGAAACAGGAGAAUGAAUUUAUUUGAAACAGGUAGAAUAAAUUAAAAAAAAAUCAGACAACUCGUUGGCACUUUGGUCACUUGGCAGAUUCAAUGACAUCCUUGGAUUAAAAAAUUUAAUUGAAAUAAAAAAUGGGUAUAUUUGAAACAGGAGAAUGGAUUUAUUUGAAAUAGGAAGAAUAAAUUAAAAAAAUCUUUGGAAAAACGGAUGUAUUUGAAACAGGAGAAUGGAUUUAUUUGAAACAGGAAGAAUAAAUUUAAAAAAUUAGACAACUCGAUCGUUAGCACUUGGGCCACUUGGUAUGUUCAAUGACAUCCUUGGAUUAAAAAAUUUAAUUGAAACAGGAUUUAUUUGAAAUAGGAAGAAUAAAUUAAAAAAAUCCUUGGAGAAACGGAUGUAUUUGAAACUGAAGAAUGGAUGUAUUUUAAACAAGAGAAUUGAUUUAUUUAAAACAGGAAGAAUAGAUUAAAAAAAUUAAACAACUCGUUGCCAUCUUUGGAUUUAAAAAUUUAAUUGAAAUACGAAACGGAUAUAUUUGAAACAGGAGAAUGGAUUUAUUUGAAACAGAAAAAAUAAAUUUAAAAAAUUAGACAACUCGCGUUGGCACUUGAGCCACUUGACAGAUUCAAUGACAUCCUUGGAUUAAAAAAAUUAAUUGAAACAAGAAAC